CGCUAAACGUUGUGAGGACUGUUCCAUCCACAACAUGGCAGCCACACAUUAUUUCCAAAAAUGAGACUGCCGAUUGCCACUAGCCCAAGUUCAAUAUUGCCCCCCCCCCCCUCUCUGCCUGAGGUCCUGGUCAUUAUGUUGAAUACAUCUCACUUGAAACCCUUCUUAAGGAGUAGGGCCCUGCAAGGCUAGGCUGAGCUGGCUUGAGUCAUCGGGCUCAUUCUUGACUCAGGUGAAGUUCUGACGGAGCCUCUGAAAUCCUUCGUGCUGCAGAGUUCCACUCUGCGCUGGUCGUCCUGUUCAUGUCAACCCAUGCUUCCGUUUCGCUGCACCAAUCCAAAACCGAUACCAUUAGUGGAGUGUGCAGGGCAUCUUAGAAAGGCCUUCCACUGUUAUAAGACAUGUUCGCUACUGCAAUGAUUAAUAAUAAUUUCACAAUGCCACAUUGUCUGGGUACAAAUCUUAACUUAGUAUGAUUUUACUGUUUCGAAACAUCCAAAAAAAACACGCAUGGAACCUAUUUUCUGUAGGGUGAGUGGAACACUGAAGUGAGAACUUGUGUUCUGCUCCAGAGUUUAGUAGUCGUCCCCCCAGUGGCCUGACUUCGCGCAUCUUCGACGUCCAGAACCCUGACCUCAGUUCUAGCGCAUGGUCUGAGUGGCCCAUGGUGUGUCUCAGACUCCAGCAGCCAGGCCUCUGUAAUGUAAUGCAUCCUGCAUCGUAGCGCUGAGAGGGAAAUGCAGAUCUGCAUCCGUUUGGGAGUGGGGUUCGUUCAAUGCGAUGGCUUACUACUAGGAUUCUCUAUUUCAGUGACCGCAUGCACUUAGUUAUAAGGGCAUUUGUGUGUGUGUGUGUGUGUGUGUGUUUGUGUACGCACACACGCACACUCACUGGUCAAUGAUUUAAUUUUUCUGUGAUAUAGAAGCACACACAAGCGUUCACACAUGCAUAAACAUGGCCACACACACACACACACACACACACACACACACACACACACACACACACGGCCUCUCAUAUUAGUAGCUCUUCCAUUCCCCUGAGCUCUUUUCAGCUCUGUCCCCCUUUCUAUGACUCACCCUAGAUCUGUAUUUGUAGAUAUCUGAAGCACCUGGAUGGGGUUUGCUACUGUUUACACCACACUGGAUUCGCUCUGUCCUCCCUUUGUUUGUACAUAAUGAAAAAACAACCACGUCUACUAAUGUAGAGGUAAUCCUGCGGCACCCAUAUAGCCAGCACUAUGCAGUACAGAAGAAAUACCUUUCCUUGGCAUGCUUUGAGAUGCAGAACACUUUAGAGAUGACAAACAUUUCACUUAAUAAAGUCUGUUUGAAUUUCUUAAAAAAAACAUUAAUGUCAAUAAUUAUAUUGGUAAUAAAUAACGAUUGGUAUGAAAGGAGAGCGACGGUGAUGAAAAACAUGACUUAAUAUGAACCUUUUUACUGCAUGCUGCACUGACUCCAUCAGAGCGAGACGCACGAAGCAGCACUCUUUCUUGUCGCUGUAUGCUUGCAAACUGUAGAGUAAAACACUGAACACUUCCGAGUGACGGAAGAGGCCUAUGAACAUAACUUAUAUAGUACGUCCGGGUUAUGGAAGAGCGAGACGGUGAAUAAUGGCGGAAACAAUGAAUCCUAGAUGCUAGUGGAUUCUCUCUGUUCAUUGUGUGCCUCAGCUCUGUACCAGAGUGAUGCAUGUGUCACAGUCCUGGAAGAUUUACUGUGUAGGAGCGCUUGAAUCCAUUUAUUUUGGUAGGGGCUGAUUUAGGCUGUGUAGGCUUUGCUUGGUACCUAGAUACGAGAGCAUUUGACAUAUGUGCGAUCCCUUUUCUCCGUCUAAUGCCCAGGUAGUAUGGGCUCCACUCACUGCCCGCUGUGCCAUUCUCCAAACAUCUGGGAGUGUGGGUUGGGAUGACAACAUCUGGCCUAUUUUAAAAAUCUGCUGUGUUAAUAAUAUGUUGCCUGAAGCACAUAAUGGGUGUUGAAAAAAAAAACGGAUUUACACUUACCCACCAAACCUAUGUUUGUUAUUUUCUUUAUUUUGGGAUUGAAGGACGUGUGUAAACUCUGUCUUUUCAGAUGAGGAUUAAUCAAACGGUUCUUAAUUUACCUUAAUAGGCCUAAAUCAGAAAUGGUUACCCCAAGGGCUGAAAAAGGUGGAGCUUAUUAAGUUAAUUAUAGGACUGAAGUCAUGACAGUGACAAGCAUUUAUUUCAAUAUACAGAGAUAUCCCUGUGGCUAAAACUUUAAGAGUACAGUAAUUAACCAUGAAUUAACAUUGAGUAAUAAGCAUUAACUAACAGUUAUUGAACAGUAAACUAAUGCUCUAGUAAUCCUUUACUAAUAACAUAUACUUUUUUAUUUAACUAAGCUAAUGGUGUUCAUGUUAACUAAGGUAUUAAUUGAUACAUUAUUUAAUUGGGUUAGGGCUAACCCCUUGGGUAGUUAAUUGUAGGGUUUACCUUAACCCUAUUAAAUAAUGUAUAAAGUCAUGCCUGGGUUAACAUGAACACCAUUAGUAAAAUUGUAUUAGCCCAUUAGUUUACUGUGAACAAAGUGGAAUGCAUUUUACUGCAAUAACUAUCAGUUAAUUGUUAGCUGAUUGUUAGUUAACGCAUAUUACUGCAGUAACAAAUAAUGAUGAAUGGUUGAUUACUGCACCCUUGUGGUAGAGUGUUUCCCAGCUCAACACCACAUCAUCCCAGCUGUGAUGAAGAGUUGAGCAGGCCAGGCCAGUGAGGUUUAGACGAAGAUGAUGCAUCACUCAUCACAAUGUUGAAGAAGGAGGAGGGAUUGACUGUCUAAUGGCAUUAUCAAUUUGAACUUUAUAGAAUUUCCAAAUAUUUAUUUCAAUAAACCUCUUUGAAAGCAAUAUAUGGGUGUGUGGAUUCCCAUUGUCUAAUUAUGAAUUUUACCUUUAUAUAAUUUCCAAAUAUUUAUUUCAAUAAACCUCUUUGAAAGCAA
Long non-coding RNA from Gadus macrocephalus (Pacific cod), 2963 nucleotides. RefSeq lists it as uncharacterized. The record is from RefSeq and is a predicted model, not a curated record. The transcript has 2 exons. NCBI's taxonomy places the organism in Eukaryota, Metazoa, Chordata, Actinopteri, Gadiformes, Gadidae.